This is a regulatory RNA element of Paenibacillus ferrarius, 102 nucleotides long. It matches the Rfam family "Purine riboswitch aptamer". Rfam says of the family: Riboswitches are metabolite binding domains within certain messenger RNAs that serve as precision sensors for their corresponding targets. Allosteric rearrangement of mRNA structure is mediated by ligand binding, and this results in modulation of gene expression. NCBI's taxonomy places the organism in Bacteria, Bacillati, Bacillota, Bacilli, Caryophanales, Paenibacillaceae. The record is from Rfam.
AUUGAAAAUGUCGAAUCAACUCGUAUAAAAUCAGGGAUAAGGCCUGAAAGUUUCUACCCAAAAACCAUGAAUUUUUGGACUACGAGGAAGCGAAUGAGGGAA